UACAGAGGUCUCAAGCGUUGUUCGGAUUCAUUGGGCGUAAAGGGUGCGUAGGCGGCGCCGUAAGUCGGGUGUGAAAUCUCGGAGCUUAACUCCGAAAUUGCACCGGAUACUGCGUUGCUCGAGGACUGUAGAGGAGAUCGGAAUUCACGGUGUAGCAGUGAAAUGCGUAGAUAUCGUGAGGAAGACCAGUUGCGAAGGCGGAUCUCUGGGCAGUUCCUGACACUGAGGCACGAAGGCCAGGGGAGCAAACGGG
Molecule: ribosomal RNA, 253 nt
Filed under: uncultured bacterium
Lineage: Bacteria
Description: partial 16S ribosomal RNA
Rfam family: Bacterial small subunit ribosomal RNA
Source: RNAcentral